Molecule: long non-coding RNA, 1785 nt
Filed under: Octopus sinensis (East Asian common octopus)
Lineage: Eukaryota; Metazoa; Mollusca; Cephalopoda; Octopoda; Octopodidae
Description: uncharacterized LOC118768269
Source: RNAcentral
CUAAGAGCAUACCAUUAACAGCCGUUAUAUUUCACUGGAGAAUGGCUCCACUCCACAAUGAGCACACACACACACACACACACACACACACACAGCAUGUUAUGCUACGCUUUCUGUCCACAUAUAUAAUUUAUUUUCUCUCUUCCAACAGAAAAAACUUUAAAAGGUGAGAUGGCUUAAAGAACUGCUCGUUAAACAGCCAACCAAUCAACAGAGUGCUAUUAAGACAAUCAACCAAUUGCUGUAUUGCUAAUUAAUUGCUGUAUUGCUAACCAAUUAACUAAAUGCUGAUUCACUUGUAAUCACAAAAAUUUACAUUAACGGAUUUGUUAUAUCAGAUCGCAAAUUAACUAAUUAACCAAGUAACCAAUUAAUUGCUGUUUAAUAACUAAUUAAUAAAUUGCUUCUGAAAUAAUUGAUCCAUCAGAGAUGAUCAGACAAGUAAAUGCUUGACCAAUAGCUUGGCCAAUUUUAGUUUUGCCAACCAAGCAGCCAACAAAUUGCUUUGCAAACAAAGAAACUGCUAUUGUGCCAAUUCAGCCAACAAUUUCUUAUCAGACAAUCAACCAAUUGCUGUUUUAUCUGCAAAUUGUUAUUUGAGCAACAACAUUGCUAUUGUGCCAACUCAAGUGAACAAUUUCAUGUUCAAGAAGUGACCAACUGUGAUUUGAUCUUAAGGACAUUUGCUAUUCAGACAACUACAAAAUAGGUACUGUGCCUUUCAUCUCAGCCAAUACUUGUUAGACAAGCAAUCAGUUGUAUUUUUAGCAACCAAUUGUUACUCAGGCAACAAUGAAAUUAUUUUGCUAACUCGCCCAACAAUUGCUUGUCAGAGAACUGACCAAUUGUACUACCAAUUGCUAUUCAAACAAUUGUGUAGUUGCUAUUUAGAGAACCAACGAAUUGCUAUUCUGUAAAUUCUUAAGUUGCUAUUCAAACAAUUGUUAAGCUGCUAUUUAGAGAACCAACCAAUUGCUCUUCAGUAAGUUAAUAUUCAGAUGACAAACUAAUUACUGCUUUGAAAACAGAAUGCUGUUGUACCAGCCCACAAACCAAUUGACUACUUAGCCAAAAUAACUAACAAAUAUCUAUUAAUCCUACAACAACCAAUUGUCAUUUUUUGCCAAUUUGCAAAUCUUCCAAUCAACCAUGUUUCGAAUGCUACAGAAUCAAAGCAAUGGAAGCAAGCAAACGAAUCCAUCGGACAUAAUCAUAAACAACUGGCAUCUGGAUGAAUGGACUCUGCGUAUGAAGAGCAACUUCAAGGGAGAGAAAUGGGCAUGCUUUGCAUUGAUUGGUGUUUUAUGCUGUGACGUUUUUCUUGUGCUGAGUUUGCUGGCGUACAAGGAGGUGUUUACAGGCAAAGUCCGCAUCCCGAUGAUGAUCGCUUGCAUCUUGCUGACGUGCAGUGGGGUCGUUUACCUCAUCAUUUCGUUUUUCAUCUACCAACGGAAGAAGAAGGAAACACACAGGAUACAGUAUGAGAAUACUAAGGAAUAUAUGACAACGCAACUGUCCUUGGAACGGAAAAUCGAGAACAGGAAUAUAUACGAAGAAAGCAAUCAGCAAAUCGUUGCCGAAGAAAUAAAACCAGGUGUGAUUCUGGGUAAAGUCAUCAAUAAGGACAAACCAUUCAAAAACCUAAAGAUGAAUUUCACAGAAACUGUUUGAAGAAGAAUUAUUUUGAAGAAGAUUUAUUUUGAAGAAUUAUUUUGAAGAAAAAUUAUUUUGAAGAAGAAUUAUUUUGAAGAAGAUUUAUUUUGAAGAAUUAUUUUGAAGAAAAAU